This 256-nucleotide unclassified non-coding RNA is filed under the name Inocybe sp. RNAcentral's name for it is "partial contains 5.8S ribosomal RNA, internal transcribed spacer 2, and large subunit ribosomal RNA". The stretch from base 1 to 53 matches the Rfam family "5.8S ribosomal RNA", at positions 103 to 154 of the family's 154-position model. The record is from RNAcentral. RNAcentral also lists the same sequence under 2 other names. Lineage: Eukaryota; Fungi; Basidiomycota; Agaricomycetes; Agaricales; Inocybaceae.
AACGCAUCUUGCGCUCCUUGGUUAAUCCAAGGAGCAUGCCUGUUUGAGUGUCAUUAAUGUCUCAACCACACCGUGAGGUGUGGCUUGGAUUUGGGGGUUACAGGCCUAGUCUGCUCCCCUGAAAUACAUGAGUGGUAACGACCUCUCCAUUAAGAUGUGAUACAUAUCUGCAUCUGGUCGAGGGUUCUGCUGCUAUAUAAGAGUUGGAUUUGAUAAACUUGACCUCAAAUCAGGUAGGACCACCCGCUGAACUUAA